UUUUAAUAAUUUAAAUUAAAAUAUUGAUUUUGUAAAUCAAAAAUAAAGUACUUUUUAAAACAU
Molecule: transfer RNA, 63 nt
Filed under: Anthribidae sp. 2 ACP-2013
Lineage: Eukaryota; Metazoa; Arthropoda; Insecta; Coleoptera; Anthribidae
Description: tRNA-Thr
Source: RNAcentral